UACAGAGGGUGCUAGCGUUGUUCGGAAUUAUUGGGCGUAAAGCGCGUGUAGGCGGCCAGGCAAGUUGGGUGUGAAAGCCCUCGGCUUAACCGAGGAAGUGCGCCCAAAACUACUUGGCUUGAGUACCGGAGAGGAUGGUGGAAUUCCCGGUGUAGAGGUGAAAUUCGUAGAUAUCGGGAGGAACACCAGUGGCGAAGGCGACCAUCUGGACGGAUACUGACGCUGAGACGCGAAAGCGUGGGUAGCAAACAGGAUUAGAUACCCUGGUAGUCCACGCUGUAAACGAUGAGCGCUAGGUGUUGUGGGUGUUGACCCCUGCAGUGCCGCAGCUAACGCAUUAAGCGCUCCGCCUGGGAAGUACGGCCGCAAGGCUAAA
This 376-nucleotide ribosomal RNA is filed under the name uncultured bacterium. RNAcentral's name for it is "bacterial SSU rRNA". It matches the Rfam family "Bacterial small subunit ribosomal RNA", at positions 524 to 898 of the family's 1533-position model. The record is from RNAcentral.